Molecule: non-coding RNA, 38 nt
Filed under: marine eukaryotic metagenome
Description: Selenocysteine insertion sequence 4
Rfam family: Selenocysteine insertion sequence 4
Source: RNAcentral
GGUACUUGCACACGUUGCGGAGCAACGAUGGUAAAAGA